GAAGGAUCAUUACCGAGUGAGAGGCCCUCUGGGUCCAACCUCCCACCCGUGUUUAUUUUACCUUGUUGCUUCGGCGGGCCCGCCUUAACUGGCCGCCGGGGGGCUUACGCCCCCGGGCCCGCGCCCGCCGAAGACACCCUCGAACUCUGUCUGAAGAUUGUAGUCUGAGUGAAAAUAUAAAUUAUUUAAAACUUUCAACAACGGAUCUCUUGGUUCCGGCAUCGAUGAAGAACGCAGCGAAAUGCGAUACGUAAUGUGAAUUGCAAAUUCAGUGAAUCAUCGAGUCUUUGAACGCACAUUGCGCCCCCUGGUAUUCCGGGGGGCAUGCCUGUCCGAGCGUCAUUUCUGCCCUCAAGCACGGCUUGUGUGUUGGGCCCCGUCCUCCGAUCCCGGGGGACGGGCCCGAAAGGCAGCGGCGGCACCGCGUCCGGUCCUCGAGCGUAUGGGGCUUUGUCACCCGCUCUGUAGGCCCGGCCGGCGCUUGCCGAUCAACCCAAAUUUUUAUCCAGGUUGACCUCGGAUCAGGUAGGGAUACCC
This 537-nucleotide ribosomal RNA is filed under the name Penicillium chrysogenum. RNAcentral describes it as "eukaryotic LSU rRNA". The stretch from base 190 to 342 matches the Rfam family "5.8S ribosomal RNA". Lineage: Eukaryota; Fungi; Ascomycota; Eurotiomycetes; Eurotiales; Aspergillaceae. The record is from RNAcentral.